This is a long non-coding RNA of Phyllostomus hastatus (greater spear-nosed bat), 2038 nucleotides long. RefSeq lists it as uncharacterized. The record is from RefSeq and is a predicted model, not a curated record. Lineage: Eukaryota; Metazoa; Chordata; Mammalia; Chiroptera; Phyllostomidae. The transcript has 3 exons.
CGGGACUGUGUGGAGGGUGAUAACGAGGAGAUGCUUCAGUAACCACUCCUCGCAGAAUCGGUCCACGCCAUGUGACCCGCUGGAUGCUGCUAUCACAGGGGACCACCAGUGCUGGUGAACUCCUGGGAGCCACGCUAUUCAAAUGUUCGACAAAUGUUUAUUGAGCACUUUUGUCUCAGGCUCUGGGCCAGGCGCGGAGAACAUGAUGCUAUUCCAUGCUCGGCUCUGUCUUCGGUUUUUAAAUGCUGUCUCUCUGAAAGUGGCACUGAUGCCUGAGGACAGAACAUCUUGACGUGUGAUCAUGAAGAUUCCUGGAAUGAAGAAGAGGAAAUCAAAGGUUCUGGGGAAACGGUGAGACUUUCUCUAGUUGGGGGAGGAAGGCCCAUCCAGAGAGAACAAGAGGUUGGACACUUGAAAACUUUCAAGGCCAAGGAAGUUCCAAGGCAAGGACCUAUCUAAAGAAAGGGGUCCCCACAGCACCUCCCAGCCCAUAAUAUCCUCCCAUCAGACACUCUCUCGGGAGCAUUGCUCUCACACACCAUGUUCGGAGGGACGUGAGGUGCAACUGGACCCCCCCAAGGUGCCCUGCAAGACAGCUUUGUCCCCUGGAGAGUGUGGAGUCCUCUCUAAUUUGAUCCUCCUCCUCGGUGGCACGGAAACUCUGGACAGGUGGAUGAGGAUGGAGUCCAGACUGUGGCCUUUGCUUUCCACGAGAAGGUGCGCUUCUCCCCGGGACCUGGCACACACCUGAAGUCCUCAGGCUGUCAGCUCCCAGCUCCCAAAGGAGGCAGAGCUGGGGCUCUGGGUGCCGAGAGACUGGGCCCACUUCUGCAACUUGGGAUGCGCUAAGUUCAGAUUGUCGGCUCAGCUGGGUAUCAAAUUAGAUGUAAAAUGCCGCUGUGGGCGGGCCUCCUGUUUAUUCUCCUUCUCCGUCCUGCCCUGCCGGGUGAGGGUGGCAUUCUGAGGAGUGAGAGGCAGCCGGCCCUCCACGAACACCCCGGGUGUCUCGCGGCUGAGGGAGCCUGAAGACCACUGGGGCGCCGCUCCACACCCUGCCUUCUUGCAAGGGUUCUGAGAUGCUGGGUUGCGCUCGGUGGAUUUAAUUUAAAAUUAAUGUGGUUCAUCCUACUUAGGAAGUGACGCAAGCAGAUGACUCAGUAUUUGUUUAAUAACGACAUCAUGUUCACUUUCAUGCCCAAAUUCCAGUGACGCUGAGCUUCCCUUGCUGAACGGCAGGACCUGAGCCCCCUUUUUAAAGUCUUCCCGCCGUUUCUGAGCAAACCCAGGAGGCUGUCCCCGUCCUGGCCGCUGGAAACGCACAGCACUCUCCACGGGCUUUCUCUGCAGUGAGCCAUCACUGGGGGAGUGCACCAAACACAUGCCCUUAAAGAAUGCCCCUGUCACCACGGCUGACAGUGCCGAGGCUGUCCCCAGGCUCUGAGCCACAGCUUGUCGCUGAGGCGCUAAGGCAGAGUUGCCUGUGUCCAGGCUCACAGUCUGUCACGCAGACGGCUCCUUUCGACUGUGGCUCUUAGCCCUCUCCUCGGAGGAAACUCAAGCCCAGUCCCAAGGCAGGUGGAGGCCAGAGGCCACGGCACCCCUUCCCUGUCACCCUGUUCCCUCUGCAGGGCCCCUCACACCCCAUUUCCAUCUCUCCCCCAUCAGGUGCACGAACCCUGGGCAUAGGCCCAGAAACCCGAAGAGCCUUUGCCCCUCUCACUAACUGAGGUGGGGCCUCGGCCCCUGCUGGCCCAGACACACACACGCCACACAGCACACACACACCACACACUGAUAUACACAGGAAAAGGAGCUCAAGACCACACAUCAAGGAGCUUUAAUGCCAAUGAUGACCCUGGAGGGAGAGUGUUCGGGUGUUCCUCACCUUUGUCUGCUGACGAACCCACUGGGCUUUAGUGUGGUCAUUUUAUCUUGUUAAUGCUUUUUAAAAAGUAUGUAUGAGUAUGCAUUUUACGUUUUAUUAUAUAAUGCUUUGUGUUUUUAAAACCCGCUUUAGAUAUUACUCUUUAGCUGAUAA